GGGUUGGGCAAUGCCUUUUAAUUUUAUAUCCCACAAUCUGAUCCCUUGCAAGAGCUUGAUCAAACAUACGAGCCAGCAAAUCAGAUAUACCAAAAGCAAAAAGUAAGGGGACAUAGGGUCACUAAUCCUUUGGAAGGAGACAUGUAUUGGGAUUUAGCUCCAUUGAUGAUCAUUUAUAACUGUAGUUAUGCCCUUAUAGAUCUAGGACACCGAUUUCUCGCCGAAACCAAGCCUAGUCAUAAUGGAAAUCAGGAAAAAUUCCAAUUGACACCUUCAGAGGCUUUUUGAAUAUACUUGGGAGUAUAUAUUCACACAUACUAUAAUGUGCAUUAUUUUUUAGUCUACCUGUAAUAUUGUAUGAAUAUCCCCUUGAAUUG
This 377-nucleotide unclassified non-coding RNA is filed under the name Hevea brasiliensis (rubber tree). The record is from RNAcentral. Lineage: Eukaryota; Viridiplantae; Streptophyta; Magnoliopsida; Malpighiales; Euphorbiaceae.